GUCUCUUCAAAGAUUUCUGAUAAAUUGGAACGAUAUAGAGAAGAUUAGCAUGGCCUUUGCACAUGCAAGAAUGACACGUGCAAAUCGAGAAAUGGUCCAAAAACAA
Elaeis guineensis (African oil palm) is the source of this 106-nucleotide small nuclear RNA. The record is from RefSeq and is a predicted model, not a curated record. NCBI's taxonomy places the organism in Eukaryota, Viridiplantae, Streptophyta, Magnoliopsida, Arecales, Arecaceae.